RNAcentral lists this ribosomal RNA (1605 nucleotides) under Salmonella enterica subsp. enterica serovar Kentucky. RNAcentral's name for it is "partial 23S ribosomal RNA". It matches the Rfam family "Bacterial large subunit ribosomal RNA", at positions 625 to 2215 of the family's 2925-position model. Lineage: Bacteria; Pseudomonadati; Pseudomonadota; Gammaproteobacteria; Enterobacterales; Enterobacteriaceae. The record is from RNAcentral.
GACUUAUAUUCUGUAGCAAGGUUAACCGUAUAGGGGAGCCGAAGGGAAACCGAGUCUUAACUGGGCGUUAAGUUGCAGGGUAUAGACCCGAAACCCGGUGAUCUAGCCAUGGGCAGGUUGAAGGUUGGGUAACACUAACUGGAGGACCGAACCGACUAAUGUUGAAAAAUUAGCGGAUGACUUGUGGCUGGGGGUGAAAGGCCAAUCAAACCGGGAGAUAGCUGGUUCUCCCCGAAAGCUAUUUAGGUAGCGCCUCGUGAACUCAUCUUCGGGGGUAGAGCACUGUUUCGGCUAGGGGGUCAUCCCGACUUACCAACCCGAUGCAAACUGCGAAUACCGAAGAAUGUUAUCACGGGAGACACACGGCGGGUGCUAACGUCCGUCGUGAAGAGGGAAACAACCCAGACCGCCAGCUAAGGUCCCAAAGUCACAGUUAAGUGGGAAACGAUGUGGGAAGGCUCAGACAGCCAGGAUGUUGGCUUAGAAGCAGCCAUCAUUUAAAGAAAGCGUAAUAGCUCACUGGUCGAGUCGGCCUGCGCGGAAGAUGUAACGGGGCUAAACUGUGCACCGAAGCUGCGGCAGCGACGCUUAUGCGUUGUUGGGUAGGGGAGCGUUCUGUAAGCCUGCGAAGGUGUCCUGUGAGGGAUGCUGGAGGUAUCAGAAGUGCGAAUGCUGACAUAAGUAACGAUAAUGCGGGUGAAAAGCCCGCUCGCCGGAAGACCAAGGGUUCCUGUCCAACGUUAAUCGGGGCAGGGUGAGUCGACCCCUAAGGCGAGGCCGAAAGGCGUAGUCGAUGGGAAACGGGUUAAUAUUCCCGUACUUGGUGUUACUGCGAAGGGGGGACGGAGAAGGCUAUGUUGGCCGGGCGACGGUUGUCCCGGUUUAAGCGUGUAGGCUGGUUUUCCAGGCAAAUCCGGAAAAUCAAGGCUGAGGCGUGAUGACGAGGCACUACGGUGCUGAAGCAACAAAUGCCCUGCUUCCAGGAAAAGCCUCUAAGCAUCAGGUAACAUCAAAUCGUACCCCAAACCGACACAGGUGGUCAGGUAGAGAAUACCAAGGCGCUUGAGAGAACUCGGGUGAAGGAACUAGGCAAAAUGGUGCCGUAACUUCGGGAGAAGGCACGCUGACACGUAGGUGAAGUGAUUUACUCAUGGAGCUGAAGUCAGUCGAAGAUACCAGCUGGCUGCAACUGUUUAUUAAAAACACAGCACUGUGCAAACACGAAAGUGGACGUAUACGGUGUGACGCCUGCCCGGUGCCGGAAGGUUAAUUGAUGGGGUCAGCGCAAGCGAAGCUCCUGAUCGAAGCCCCGGUAAACGGCGGCCGUAACUAUAACGGUCCUAAGGUAGCGAAAUUCCUUGUCGGGUAAGUUCCGACCUGCACGAAUGGCGUAAUGAUGGCCAGGCUGUCUCCACCCGAGACUCAGUGAAAUUGAACUCGCUGUGAAGAUGCAGUGUACCCGCGGCAAGACGGAAAGACCCCGUGAACCUUUACUAUAGCUUGACACUGAACAUUGAGCCUUGAUGUGUAGGAUAGGUGGGAGGCUUUGAAGUGUGGACGCCAGUCUGCAUGGAGCCGACCUUGAAAUACCACCCUUUAAUGUUU